Molecule: ribosomal RNA, 433 nt
Filed under: uncultured bacterium
Lineage: Bacteria
Description: partial 16S ribosomal RNA
Rfam family: Bacterial small subunit ribosomal RNA
Source: RNAcentral
AACGAACGCUGGCGGCAGGCUUAGCACAUGCAAGUCGAGCGAGACCUUCGGGUCUAGCGGCGGACGGGUGAGUAACGCGUGGGAACGUGCCCUUCUCUACGGAAUAGCCCCGGGAAACUGGGAGUAAUACCGUAUACGCCCUUUGGGGGAAAGAUUUAUCGGAGAAGGAUCGGCCCGCGUUGGAUUAGGUAGUUGGUGGGGUAAUGGCCCACCAAGCCGACGAUCCAUAGCUGGUUUGAGAGGAUGAUCAGCCACACUGGGACUGAGACACGGCCCAGACUCCUACGGGAGGCAGCAGUGGGGAAUCUUAGACAAUGGGGGCAACCCUGAUCUAGCCAUGCCGCGUGAGUGAUGAAGGCCUUAGGGUUGUAAAGCUCUUUCAGCUGGGAAGAUAAUGACGGUACCAGCAGAAGAAGCCCCGGCUAACUCCGUG